AUGCAAAGUGUCAUUCUAGAUUUGCUCAAUAUGGACCAUCCAUAUGCUACUAUACCUAAUAUUUUCAAUUUUUUGUGGUGCAUAUGGAAGUCCAGAUGUGAUUGUCUUUUUGAUAGGAGAUGCUCACUCCCACAUCAGGUACAUGUGGCUGCCUUAGCUUUGGACGACCAGCAGAAGUCUCAGAUGGUUUCCCCCUUAGAUGAUCGCAAUGUUGUUACUAAUGCUACUUCCCUUGUUAAUGCUACUACAUUGCCAAUUCAGGGAAGCACUCUUACAACUGAUCUUCUUAUUGAUGGUGCAAAAAUCUAUUCUGAUGCUUCUUUUAGAUGCUCAAAAGUUCCAGGUUUACCAAAUGGUAGUGUUGCCACGGGCAUUGGUGUCUUUCUCAAAUUCGUUCAAGGCAACAAGAACGUUGACGUGUAG
This 423-nucleotide ribosomal RNA is filed under the name Triticum aestivum (bread wheat). RNAcentral's name for it is "partial small subunit ribosomal RNA". Lineage: Eukaryota; Viridiplantae; Streptophyta; Magnoliopsida; Poales; Poaceae. The record is from RNAcentral.